Pelobates cultripes (western spadefoot toad) is the source of this 207-nucleotide non-coding RNA. Lineage: Eukaryota; Metazoa; Chordata; Amphibia; Anura; Pelobatidae. The record is from the annotation of a GenBank genome assembly.
CUGCAAUCACCAACCUCCUGAACUCCAAACUGCACGUAUUCACCAACUCUCGAACAGCAGACACAGGAACCCUGGAAGCAGCCGAACAGGAAAAGCAAUACAAACGGCUUACACUCCUGGCAGUCAGCACACAAUCCAAUUCCCCCAAUAACGAGACGACACUUCGUUUUGAGGGUUAAGCAGAAUCUCUAGAUUUAUUCACACAGC